Populus nigra (black poplar) is the source of this 499-nucleotide long non-coding RNA. RefSeq lists it as uncharacterized. The transcript is spliced from 2 exons. Lineage: Eukaryota; Viridiplantae; Streptophyta; Magnoliopsida; Malpighiales; Salicaceae. The record is from RefSeq and is a predicted model, not a curated record.
AUUUUUUUUCUUUUUUUUGUACGAGUAGGAAACAGAGAAAGAGACGGGUGGGUCUUUGAAUGAGAAAUAAAUUGCUAAUCAAUGUUUUUAUUUAUUUUGGAGCUGGAUAAGAGGGGAGAAGUAGAACAAGAGAGAGGGAAACUGUGGUGAUGAUGAAAGGGAAACACAGAGACGGAAAUGUAAGGUUGGUCAGAGAAAGACAGAGUCUAAAAUGGAAAGGCAGCAUGUGAAGCAGGAGACAUGGAACUUGCUUUCCUGUUUCUUUCUUCUGUCUUUAUUAUUAGUGUAUUUAUUAAUUAAUGAUUUCUUUAAUUGAAUUUACAUGGGAUAAUCUGUAACGUCCACCUUUGGAAUAAAUUAGUCAUUAAACAAACAUGUGAGCCAAAGACAAGUGGGUUCAUCAUGAUUAGGCUGUUGGGCAAGGAUUAGGUAAAGGUAAAGACUUGUAAUUUGUCCCCAAAAUCCUCUAAAGAAAAUGUAAGAAUCCCUAGGGCUGAUA